This 305-nucleotide ribosomal RNA is filed under the name uncultured bacterium. RNAcentral's name for it is "bacterial SSU rRNA". It matches the Rfam family "Bacterial small subunit ribosomal RNA", at positions 337 to 656 of the family's 1533-position model. The record is from RNAcentral.
CCCUACGGGGGGCAGCAGUGGGGAAUAUUGCACAAUGGGGGAAACCCUGAUGCAGCGACGCCGCGUGAGCGAAGAAGUAUUUCGGUAUGUAAAGCUCUAUCAGCAGGGAAGAAAAAAAUGACGGUACCUGAGUAAGAAGCACCGGCUAAAUACGUGCCAGCAGCCGCGGUAAUACGUAUGGUGCAAGCGUUAUCCGGAUUUACUGGGUGUAAAGGGAGCGCAGGCGGCACGGCAAGCCUGAUGUGAAAGCCCGCGGCCCACCCGCGGGACUGCAUUGGGAACUACCGGGCUGGAGUGCCGGCGAG